UAUGGCAGAUUAGUGCAAAGGAUUUAAAUUCCUUAUAUAAAGAUUUUCAUUUUUUAUUAAAA
Molecule: transfer RNA, 62 nt
Filed under: Temnothorax congruus
Lineage: Eukaryota; Metazoa; Arthropoda; Insecta; Hymenoptera; Formicidae
Description: tRNA-Leu
Source: RNAcentral